GAUGAACGCUGGCGGCGUGCCUAAUACAUGCAAGUCGAGCGAAUGGAUUGAGAGCUUGCUCUUAUGAAGUUAGCGGCGGACGGGUGAGUAACACGUGGGUAACCUGCCCAUAAGACUGGGAUAACUCCGGGAAACCGGGGCUAAUACCGGAUAACAUUUUGAACCGCAUGGUUCGAAAUUGAAAGGCGGCUUCGGCUGUCACUUAUGGAUGGACCCGCGUCGCAUUAGCUAGUUGGUGAGGUAACGGCUCACCAAGGCAAUGAUGCGUAGCCGACCUGAGAGGGUGAGCGGCCACACUGGGACUGAGACACGGCCCAGACUCCUACGGGAGGCAGCAGUAGGGAAUCUUCCGCAAUGGACGAAAGUCUGACGGAGCAACGCCGCGUGAGUGAUGAAGGCUUUCGGGUCGUAAAACUCUGUUGUUAGGGAAGAACAAGUGCUAGUUGAAUAAGCUGGCACCUUGACGGUACCUAACCAGAAAGCCACGGCUAACUACGUGCCAGCCGCCGCAGUAA
This 515-nucleotide ribosomal RNA is filed under the name uncultured bacterium. Its description in RNAcentral is "partial 16S ribosomal RNA". It matches the Rfam family "Bacterial small subunit ribosomal RNA", at positions 28 to 523 of the family's 1533-position model. The record is from RNAcentral.